AGCCACAGCCACAUCACCCUGCAGCCCAAGACCGGUUACUCACUGAAGCUAAGCAGGGCUGAGCCUGGUCAGUACCUGGAUGGGAGACCACUAGGGAACACUAGGUUGCUGUUGGAA
This 117-nucleotide ribosomal RNA is filed under the name Danio rerio (zebrafish). The record is from RNAcentral. Lineage: Eukaryota; Metazoa; Chordata; Actinopteri; Cypriniformes; Danionidae.